Long non-coding RNA from Hyla sarda, 524 nucleotides. RefSeq lists it as uncharacterized. The transcript has 3 exons. Lineage: Eukaryota; Metazoa; Chordata; Amphibia; Anura; Hylidae. The record is from RefSeq and is a predicted model, not a curated record.
GAUGAUGCGGGCCGUGCCCGAACUGUCAAUCAUGCCGAGUAGGCAUGGUUAAGGACAAAGGGUGGUGAGAUGAGGGAAAAUAAAGGGGUCUCAGUUUACCUUAGUUCAUCCUAAGGUCCACACAACUUAUUAAUGUCCUUUUUAAGACCUGAAAAAAUAAAUCCUGUUAACUUCAAUGGGUACCAAAAUCAGCUGCAAAAAACAUGCAGCAGAUCCUGCACGUGUGAACAUAUCCUAACUGUAACCAUAUUAUAGAGCUGAGAAAAGACAAUGGGAGUUGAAGAACACAGCAUCCAUUCCAUUCUUGCUAGAAGGAAAAGCCAAACAUGAGCUGUAUUGUUUCAAUAGAAAAUCGAUGAAGCAUCAUACAUGAGAGGAUAACAAGGUAACAAGUGAGAAGCUCAGUGUCCCGAACUGUCGAUGUAUCCCUCCAGUAUCCAGACUGACAGGCCAGAAAGACGCUGUGCAAUGAAUAUUGUACAAAGAGCAACAAUAGUUUCCUACAGCAUAUUAGAACUGCAUUG